Scatophagus argus is the source of this 1813-nucleotide long non-coding RNA. RefSeq lists it as uncharacterized. NCBI's taxonomy places the organism in Eukaryota, Metazoa, Chordata, Actinopteri, Scatophagidae. The record is from RefSeq and is a predicted model, not a curated record. The transcript has 3 exons.
CGAAGAGUCGAACAUGUCUCAGCCUCCAUGUUGACCUUUUUGUCUUCAUGUGUCUGCCACAACUUCAUGUAGCCUGAAGGACAUGUUUUAAAAAGGUUUUUAGCCCUAUGGAGGAAUACAGUAUUUAUUUUGUGCUUGUUACUGUAUUGAACUGUAAACAGUGUAUGGCACAUGUGUCAAACUAAAGGCCCGCAGGCCACAUCCGGCCCGGCGUAUAAUUAUAUCCGGCCCGCGAGCUCAUUUCAUAUAGAUCUAUUAUUAUUGUUACUAAGGGCCCGCCAAUAUGAAGCGCUGAUAACACACAAACUACAGAUCCCAUAAUGCAGCGCAACGGCCGCCUUGCCUUACUAUUGGCUACCUGGGAACAUUCCCGCGUCAAUCGAGUCGAGCUCUGUUGCCGUAUACAGCCGAGGCUGUUGACUUGUUGUCCUAGCUUGCUCUUUUAGGAUUACUUUCAGCACAACAACAACGUCUCCCUCCUGUCGGAAAGCGGUCACGACACGCUCAUCGGGAAACCGCAAUGCAUUGUGGGCUUUUCGGGCAACUGAAAAGUGUGUUUACGCCGGCAGCUUGCGUGAUGCUGCUCUUGUGUUCUGUUGUUUUGUUUGAACAAGUUAAAACACGGUGCCGACGUGCUGUGUCGUUAACUGACGCAAUCGUCCACACGAUCGCUUCGGUAAAACAAACGAUCGGGUCAGUUUUUUUUCUCAUUUCCUACGUGCACGCAAACCCAAGGACGUCGGAUCCGUGAGCUAACGAGGGGACGCCGAAUGGCCUGGAGAGCAGCCGUGAGACGACCAGACAUGUUGGUGUGUUCACGGCAUUUCACACCGGUGUUGGUGGUGUUUUUCUGAAAACAAAAUGGAUGGCUGCUUAUUUGUGUUUAUCCUUAACAUGUCACUGAUACGUCAGGCACAGCAGCCAACGGUUUGUGUGCGAGCAGCGGAGCUCAGAGCGCUCGACAGAAAAACGUCAAACGAAAGAAAUGAAGCGACAUCAGACCUGCAGGUCGUACGUCAGCCACUAACGAGAAGAACCUCCUCCCCUCCUUUAGCUCAGGAUCCGCCGCCUGCCUUUUACCUUCUGCUCAACUUCGACACUCACAUUUUCAUCUUGUCUUCUGACAGCUGUAGAUGACUGCUGUGAGAGACAGCAGAGGCUGACAGGGAGAGGAAGGCUCCUGGUCGUCCUCCUCAUCUCCUCCUCUAUUGCUCCCUGCAUCAAAUCGGAGCCGUCAGUCAGCAACACACUCCAUCACACCAACGACAACCACAGAGGAAACACAGCGGCGGCGGAGGAGGCGAACAGCAGUAUCAGAGAAAGCAGGGGAAGGGGGGAAGAUCUGAUGGAAUCAGGUUUUCUAAGAUGAAUUGAUGUGUCCUUCAUGACAUUGGAGCUGAGCUGAGCUGGGAACAGCUGCAGGUGCUGCAGGUUUAACAACACAUUCACUUUCAGCUGACUUUCAGCUGCAGCUCCUAUCUGAGCUUUCAUUCUCAAUUAGCUUCUUGAUCAAUCAUUUUAAUACUUUUAUAAGAACGAGGUGCAUUACUUCAGUGUUAGCAGGAAGUGGAUGAAACAGAGAAAACGUCUCCAGGCAGACAGGCACAUCUUUGACAGACGUGUCUUUGUUGGACAGAUGUGGCCCUGAUUUAUAUUUUAUUUAUAAAGUGAAACCCACCAUGUAAGUCUGUCUCAAUCUGUGACUGAAUGUGCCUGACGUUGGACAUUUCACACACCAACUAAUUAACCGACUCAUCACUGAAUCGAUAAUACUAAUGAUGGAAAAGUGAAACAUUAAACCUGUGACUGAUAA